ACCCUUUCUAGUUUCUAAUUUUCAACCCUUGCCCCGCGUUUUCCGUGUUUGGUACCAAAAUUUGUUCAAAUCCCUAGCAUUGGAUUGUCUUCAUCCGGCAUGAUCAGUCUUUGGAUCGUUUUCAUGUUAGCAUUCUUUCUUGCACAGAGAAGGAUGGGGCUCUUCUUCCUGCUAUUCUCAUCUUGAUUGUUUGGAGCAGCGUAAAGCACCUGAUGAGCUUGUUAAUGAUCUCACAAAUCUGGCAUCUGCAACUGGGAACCUCUAUUGCAGAUUAUAAUUAGGCUUUGCCAUGCCUAAUCCUGUUUGGAUGAAAGAAGCUCCAUUUUCAAAAAGUCCCUCACGGAGUAAAACUUCCAAGGUCCCUUCCCCUGGCUGCCAUGUCUCCAUGUAACCUGCUCAACCGAUUACGAUGAAGAGUCUUGUUUGGUCCAAAAUGAUUGUACACGACAGUCACCUUCAUGCCUUUGUCUCUCACAUAGCCAUCAUCAUGUCCGAGGAGCAUUACUUUGUCCUGGUUUCUGAACCAGUUGUUGGAGAUGGUAAUACCGGUAGACCCUCGAGUGA
Long non-coding RNA from Tripterygium wilfordii, 564 nucleotides. RefSeq lists it as uncharacterized. The transcript has 3 exons. NCBI's taxonomy places the organism in Eukaryota, Viridiplantae, Streptophyta, Magnoliopsida, Celastrales, Celastraceae. The record is from RefSeq and is a predicted model, not a curated record.